GUCUUUAAGAAUUAAUUUAAAGUCGAGCCUGCUCACUGAUUUUAUAUUAAAGAGCCGCGGUAUUUUGACCGUGCAAAGGUAGCAUAAUCAAUAGUCUUUUAAUUGAAGACUGGAAUGAAUGGUUUGACGAAAUAAUAACUGUCUUAAUGUAAAUAAUUGAAUUUUAUUUUUAAGUUAAAAAGCUUAAAUGUUUGAAAGGGACGAGAAGACCCUAUAGAUUUUUAUAUUAUUAUUAAAUAAGAAUUUUAGUGUAUUUAUUUAAUGAUAUUAUUUGAUUGGGGUGAUAUUAGAAUAGAUAAACUUCUAUUAAAAUAAACAAAAAUGAAUGAAUUUAGGAUCCUUUAUUAGUGAUUAAAAGAUUAAAAUACCUUAGGGAUAACAGCGUAAUUUUGUUUGAGAGUUCUAAUCGAUAAUAAAGAUUGCGACCUCGAUGUUGGAUUAAGAAUAUUUUUUGGUGCAGUAAUUAAAAAAAUAAGUCUGUUCGACUUUUAAAUUCUUACA
RNAcentral lists this ribosomal RNA (501 nucleotides) under Laupala cerasina. RNAcentral's name for it is "partial 16S ribosomal RNA". It matches the Rfam family "Archaeal large subunit ribosomal RNA", at positions 1921 to 2669 of the family's 2987-position model. Lineage: Eukaryota; Metazoa; Arthropoda; Insecta; Orthoptera; Trigonidiidae. The record is from RNAcentral.